This is a long non-coding RNA of Lolium perenne, 781 nucleotides long. RefSeq lists it as uncharacterized. The record is from RefSeq and is a predicted model, not a curated record. Lineage: Eukaryota; Viridiplantae; Streptophyta; Magnoliopsida; Poales; Poaceae.
UUUUGUCGAUGCUAGAAGGAUAUUAAUAUUGUUUGAACAGUUCCAAGUUCCAGGGUGUGUACUUGUGAUUUAUUUAGUGCACAUCUAAACUACUAAUUUUGUUGUGACAACUCCAUGCAGUGGCACUGGAUGUUGAUGACCACCAAGUGUGGUUGAUUCGUGUUAGCAAACUUUUGACAUUAACAGGUAUUGUAUGCAGCAAGGAGCAUUUACAUAGCAUUGCGAGAAGAAAGUUGUAGCUACUGAUAACAAUAAUGCAUUAGAGGACUCACAUUUGUGUCAGCUAGGAUGGCGUGGUAAAUAAGAUCUCCCAUCCGAGUCACUUUAAUUCACGCGGUCACAAUUUUCGAAUCGUCACCCAACCAUGACCUAUUAUAGUGUAGAAAGAAGAAGUUGCAAGUGAGGAUUCCAGGCGAAGCGAGAGUACGGCCUUGGUGGCAUUAUUCUCUCCGAGCAGGCGCGUCCGAAGCUAAGUUGUACUGCCAUGGUUACUUCGUAAGGUUGAAGAUUGGUUGCAUCAUAUUCUGCUAAUUUAUAGGCCGGGUCCUGCUUUUGUACAUCAAGUAUUCUGCCUGGGUGCUAUUCACGUCCUCAUUAAUGUUGAUUCUUUUUUUUUUCAUAUUACCUUAUGGGACGAGCUUGAUUAUAGAAUGAUCUUGAUUAUGGGGUGAAAUUGAUUCUGGGCAAGUUUGACUGGGGCGUGAUUACAUUCCUUUUGGAAAUUAUGGGACGAUCUUGAUUAUAGGGCGAGAUUGAUUCUGGGCGAUUUCUGGUGCGAGUU